AUACGGAGGAUCCGAGCGUUAUCCGGAUUUAUUGGGUUUAAAGGGUGCGUAGGCGGACGAUUAAGUCAGCUGUGAAAUGCCCGCGCUUAACGCGGGAAGUGCAGUUGAUACUGGUUGUCUGGAGUGCCGCUGCCGUGGGGGGUAUGUGUAGUGUAGCGGUGAAAUGCUUAGAUAUCACGAAGAACUCCGAUUGCGAAGGCAGCUUGCUGGACUGUAACUGACGCUGAUGCUCGAAAGUGUGGGUAUCAAACAGGAUUAGAUACCCUGGUAGUCCACACAGUAAACGAUGAAUACUCGCUGUUUGCGAUAUACAGUAAGCGGCCAAGCGAAAGCGUUAAGUAUUCCACCUGGGGAGUACGCCGGCAACGGUGAAACUCAAAUGAAUCGACGGGG
This 393-nucleotide ribosomal RNA is filed under the name uncultured bacterium. Its description in RNAcentral is "partial 16S ribosomal RNA". It matches the Rfam family "Bacterial small subunit ribosomal RNA", at positions 523 to 918 of the family's 1533-position model. The record is from RNAcentral.